RNAcentral lists this transfer RNA (73 nucleotides) under Monodelphis domestica (gray short-tailed opossum). It matches the Rfam family "tRNA". From Rfam's summary of the family: Transfer RNA (tRNA) molecules are approximately 80 nucleotides in length. Their secondary structure includes four short double-helical elements and three loops (D, anti-codon, and T loops). Lineage: Eukaryota; Metazoa; Chordata; Mammalia; Didelphimorphia; Didelphidae. The record is from Rfam by way of RNAcentral.
GGCAGUGUGGUACAAUGGAAAGAAUGUUGGAAUUUUAAAUCAUAUGGGCUGGGUUCAAAUCUCAGUUCUGUUA